RNAcentral lists this transfer RNA (85 nucleotides) under Felis catus (domestic cat). It matches the Rfam family "tRNA". From Rfam's summary of the family: Transfer RNA (tRNA) molecules are approximately 80 nucleotides in length. Their secondary structure includes four short double-helical elements and three loops (D, anti-codon, and T loops). Further hydrogen bonds mediate the characteristic L-shaped molecular structure. tRNAs have two regions of fundamental functional importance: the anti-codon, which is responsible for specific mRNA codon recognition, and the 3' end, to which the tRNAs corresponding amino acid is attached (by aminoacyl-tRNA synthetases). tRNAs cope with the degeneracy of the genetic code in two manners: having more than one tRNA (with a specific anti-codon) for a particular amino acid; and 'wobble' base-pairing, i.e. permitting non-standard base-pairing at the 3rd anti-codon position. The record is from Rfam by way of RNAcentral. Lineage: Eukaryota; Metazoa; Chordata; Mammalia; Carnivora; Felidae.
GCCUGGCUGGCUCAGUUGGUUGAGCUUCUGACUUCAGCUCAGGUCAUGAUCUCAGGGUUCAUGGGUUCGAGCCCCGUGUCGGGCU